This 453-nucleotide ribosomal RNA is filed under the name Escherichia coli. RNAcentral describes it as "bacterial SSU rRNA". It matches the Rfam family "Bacterial small subunit ribosomal RNA", at positions 1050 to 1503 of the family's 1533-position model. Lineage: Bacteria; Pseudomonadati; Pseudomonadota; Gammaproteobacteria; Enterobacterales; Enterobacteriaceae. The record is from RNAcentral.
UGUCGUCAGCUCGUGUUGUGAAAUGUUGGGUUAAGUCCCGCAACGAGCGCAACCCUUAUCCUUUGUUGCCAGCGGUCCGGCCGGGAACUCAAAGGAGACUGCCAGUGAUAAACUGGAGGAAGGUGGGGAUGACGUCAAGUCAUCAUGGCCCUUACGACCAGGGCUACACACGUGCUACAAUGGCGCAUACAAAGAGAAGCGACCUCGCGAGAGCAAGCGGACCUCAUAAAGUGCGUCGUAGUCCGGAUUGGAGUCUGCAACUCGACUCCAUGAAGUCGGAAUCGCUAGUAAUCGUGGAUCAGAAUGCCACGGUGAAUACGUUCCCGGGCCUUGUACACACCGCCCGUCACACCAUGGGAGUGGGUUGCAAAAGAAGUAGGUAGCUUAACCUUCGGGAGGGCGCUUACCACUUUGUGAUUCAUGACUGGGGUGAAGUCGUAACAAGGUAACCGU